This 253-nucleotide ribosomal RNA is filed under the name uncultured bacterium. RNAcentral describes it as "partial 16S ribosomal RNA". It matches the Rfam family "Bacterial small subunit ribosomal RNA", at positions 524 to 776 of the family's 1533-position model. The record is from RNAcentral.
UACGGAGGGUGCAAGCGUUGCUCGGAAUUAUUGGGCGUAAAGCGUAUGUAGGCGGUCUUCUAAGUCUGAUGUGAAAUCCCGGGGCUUAACUCCGGAACUGCAUUGGAUACUGGAAGGCUAGAGAAUGGUAGAGGAUGGUGGAAUUCCUGGUGUAGGGGUGAAAUCCGUAGAUAUCAGGAGGAACAUCAGUGGCGAAGGCGGCCAUCUGGACCAUGUCUGACGCUGAGAUACGAAAGCGUGGGGAGCAAACAGG